RNAcentral lists this ribosomal RNA (925 nucleotides) under uncultured Bacteroidota bacterium. RNAcentral describes it as "bacterial SSU rRNA". It matches the Rfam family "Bacterial small subunit ribosomal RNA", at positions 1 to 916 of the family's 1533-position model. The record is from RNAcentral. Lineage: Bacteria; Pseudomonadati; Bacteroidota.
GGAUCCAGACUUUGAUUAUGGCUCAGGAUGAACGCUAGCUACAGGCUUAACACAUGCAAGUCGAGGGGAAACGACAUUGGAAGCUUGCUUCCUUUGGGCGUCGACCGGCGCACGGGUGAGUAACGCGUAUCCAACCUUCCCGCAAGUAAGGGAUAACCCGUAGAAAUGCGGCCUAAUACCUUAUGUUUUCCUUAGAGGGCAUCUGAUGAGGAACAAAGAUCCGUCGCUUGCGGAUGGGGAUGCGUCUGAUUAGUUAGUCGGCGGGGUAACGGCCCACCGAGACGACGAUCAGUAGGGGUUCUGAGAGGAAAGUCCCCCACAUUGGAACUGAGACACGGUCCAAACUCCUACGGGAGGCAGCAGUGAGGAAUAUUGGUCAAUGGGCGGAAGCCUGAACCAGCCAAGUAGCGUGCAGGACGACGGCCCUAUGGGUUGUAAACUGCUUUUAUGCGGGGAUAAAGUGGGCCACGUGUGGCCUUUUGCAGGUACCGCAUGAAUAAGGACCGGCUAAUUCCGUGCCAGCAGCCGCGGUAAUACGGAAGGUCCGGGCGUUAUCCGGAUUUAUUGGGUUUAAAGGGAGCGCAGGCCGCCGGGCAAGCGUGUUGUGAAAUGCAGUCGCUCAACGUCUGCACUGCAGCGCGAACUGCCCAGCUUGAGUGCGCGCAACGUUGGCGGAAUUCGCCGUGUAGCGGUGAAAUGCUUAGAUAUGGCGAAGAACUCCGAUUGCGAAGGCAGCUGACGGGUGCGUAACUGACGCUCAUGCUCGAAAGUGCGGGUAUCGAACAGGAUUAGAUACCCUGGUAGUCCGCACGGUAAACGAUGGAUGCCCGCUAUUCGGCCCAUGCGGUUGAGUGGCCAAGCGAAAGCGUUAAGCAUCCCACCUGGAGAGUACGCCGGCAACGGUGCAACUCAAAUGAAUUGACGG